GCGACGCCGAGCGGAACCCGAAAACCUAGUCUCAGUUCGGAUCGGAGUCUGNAACCCGACUCCGUGAAGCUGGAUUCGCUAGUAAUCGCGCAUCAGCCAUGGCGCGGUGAAUACGUUCCCGGGCCUUGUACACACCGCCCGUCAAGCCAUGGAAGCCGGGGGUGCCUGAAGUGUGCAGCCGCAAGGAGCGCCCUAAGGUAAAACCGGUGACUGGGGCUAAGUCGUAACAAGGUAUC
RNAcentral lists this ribosomal RNA (236 nucleotides) under uncultured bacterium. RNAcentral's name for it is "partial 16S ribosomal RNA". It matches the Rfam family "Bacterial small subunit ribosomal RNA", at positions 1257 to 1500 of the family's 1533-position model. The record is from RNAcentral.